GGGCACGUGGUGUAGAGGUUUAUCACUCUUGCUUUGCAACGGUUCGACGCCUAGUGCGAAUGGUUCAAUUCCCAGCGUGUCCA
This is a non-coding RNA of Roridomyces roridus, 83 nucleotides long. Lineage: Eukaryota; Fungi; Basidiomycota; Agaricomycetes; Agaricales; Mycenaceae. The record is from the annotation of a GenBank genome assembly.